RNAcentral lists this ribosomal RNA (504 nucleotides) under uncultured bacterium. Its description in RNAcentral is "bacterial SSU rRNA". It matches the Rfam family "Bacterial small subunit ribosomal RNA", at positions 9 to 526 of the family's 1533-position model. The record is from RNAcentral.
GAGUUUGAUCCUGGCUCAGGAUGAACGCUGGCGGCGUGCUUAACACAUGCAAGUCGAACGAUUGAAGCUGGAGCUUGCUCCGGCCGAUUUAGUGGCGGACGGGUGAGUAACGCGUGGGUAACCUGCCUCAUACAGGGGGAUAGCAGCUGGAAACGGCUGAUAAAACCGCAUAAGCGCACAGCAUCGCAUGAUGCAGUGUGAAAAACUCCGGUGGUAUGAGAUGGACCCGCGUCUGAUUAGCUUGUUGGUGAGGUAACGGCCCACCAAGGCGACGAUCCAUAGCCGACCUGAGAGGGUGACCGGCCACAUUGGGACUGAGACACGGCCCAAACUCCUACGGGAGGCAGCAGUGGGGAAUAUUGCACAAUGGGCGAAAGCCUGAUGCAGCGACGCCGCGUGAGCGAAGAAGUAUUUCGGUAUGUAAAGCUCUAUCAGCAGGGAAGAUAAUGACGGUACCUGACUAAGAAGCACCGGCUAAAUACGUGCCAGCCGCCGCGGUAAUUC